AUCGCAGCCUAACAUGCAAGGUCGAGCGGUAGCACAAGAGAGCUUGCUCUCUGGGGUGACGAGCGGCGGACGGGUGAGUAAUGUCUGGGAAACUGCCUGAUGGAGGGGGAUAACUACUGGAAACGGUAGCUAAUACCGCAUAACGUCUUCGGACCAAAGUGGGGGACCUUCGGGCCUCACGCCAUCAGAUGUGCCCAGAUGGGAUUACCUAGUAGGUGGGGUAAUGCCCCACCUAGCCAACAACCCCUAGCUUGGUCUUAAAAGUAUUACCAACCCCCCUGGAACUUAAACACCGUCCACACUCCUACGGGAAGCAACAAUGGCGGAAUAUUGCACAAUGGGCGCAACCCUGAUGCAUCCAUCCCCCGUCUGUUAAAAAAGCCUUCGCGUUGUAAAGCACUUUCACCAAGUGAGAGAAUCCUACUGUGUUAAUACCACAUUUCAUUGACGUUACUCGCACAAUAAACACCCGCUAACUCCUUGCCAGCAGCCGCGUCUAAUACGGAGGGUGCAAGCGUUAAUCGUCAAUUACUGGGCGUAAAGCCCACGCACGCGAUUUGUUAACUCAGAUAUGAAAUCCCCGCGCUUAACGCUGGGAACUGCAUUUGAAACUGGCAACCUAGAGUCUUGUACAUAGCAGCUAUAAUUCCAAGUUUACCUGUGAAAUGCGUAUAGAUCUUGAGUGAAUACCGCUGCGCUAAUGCAGCCCCCUGGACAAAGACUGCACGCUCAGGUGCAAAAGCGUGUUGUACCAAACACAGAUUUAGAUACCCUGGUAGUCCACGCUGUAAACCAUGUCCACUUU
RNAcentral lists this ribosomal RNA (805 nucleotides) under Serratia sp. F7. Its description in RNAcentral is "bacterial SSU rRNA". It matches the Rfam family "Bacterial small subunit ribosomal RNA", at positions 43 to 819 of the family's 1533-position model. Lineage: Bacteria; Pseudomonadati; Pseudomonadota; Gammaproteobacteria; Enterobacterales; Yersiniaceae. The record is from RNAcentral.